GUCACAAAUGAUCUGCAGGACAAAUGCAGCUGCUUUCAGUCCAGUUUAUUGGGCUGAAAGAAAAAUGUGUCUAGACUGGACGGAGGCAGUAAGGUGAGUAUGCUUGCCGAUUUCAUCAGUUUUCCUUAGAGGCUUGAAGUGUUCAGGGUGCUGAAGAUGAGCCUGACAAACUGUGACAUGCACUCAAAUAUGUAUUAAUUAUUUUUCCUACCAUCUAAGGUCUUUUCAAGAAAUGCAGUAUGUUUAAUUAGUAAUGCCUGGAUUGCAAGACCUGUGUAACGUGAGGAAACUUCAUCCACAAUUAAUGAUGCUCUGCCCUUGACGAGGAAAUCAUAACGAGUGCCUUCGUUUUUCAGGUUGUGGCUUUUCACCCCGAACAAAUCAGAACAUCAGACUGAAGAGUUUCUCUUCACAAGACAAUUGAUGGACUGGAGUUGUGCGGAUUGUGGCGGGACUUUCUCAUUCACACAAGCAUUUGAUUGGACAAUAAACUGUGUGGUGCAACAUGAGUCAUCAAAAUUUCUAUUCCCAUUCCAGAAAAGAAAAUGCAUAUAUCUGCUGAAAAUGAAUGUUCAUAGAUAAACGUUUAGACAUAUGCUAGCAUUUAGAUGG
Long non-coding RNA from Cyprinus carpio carpio, 612 nucleotides. NCBI's taxonomy places the organism in Eukaryota, Metazoa, Chordata, Actinopteri, Cypriniformes, Cyprinidae. The record is from Ensembl.